UUCCGGUUGAUCCUGCCGGACCCCACUGCUAUCGGGGUAGGACUAAAACAUGCAAGUCGAGCGCCUUCAAGCUAUGGUGAAGGCGCGGCGAACGGCUCAGUAACACGUGGCUAACCUACCCUUUGGACGGGGACAACCCCGGGAAACUGGGCCUAAUCCCCGAUAGAUGAGAAGUCCUGGAAUGGUUUCUCAUCUAAAAGGUGUUUAGAGCAUGCUUCUAGGCGUCGCCAAAGGAUGGGGCCGCGGCCGAUCAGGUUGUUGGUGAGGUAACGGCUCACCAAGCCUAUAACCGGUACGGGCCGUGAGAGCGGGAGCCCGGAGAUGGGCACUGAGACAAGGGCCCAGGCCCUACGGGGCGCAGCAGUUGCGAAAACUCCGCAAUGCACGAAAGUGUGACGGGGCUACCCCGAGUGCCGUCCGCUGAGGGCGGCUUUUCCCGGGUGUAAGGAGCCGGGGGAAUAAGGAGAGGGCAAGUCUGGUGUCAGCCGCCGCGGUAAUACCAGCUCUCCGAGUGGUAGGGAUGAUUAUUGGGCUUAAAGCGUUCGUAGCCGGCUCAGCAAGUCUUCCGUUAAAUCCAGCGAUUUAAUCGUUGGGCUGCGGAAGAUACUGUUGGGCUAGGGGACGGGAGAAGCCGACGGUAUUCUCGGGGUAGGGGCGAAAUCCUAUAAUCCCGGGAGGACCACCAGUGGCGAAGGCGGUCGGCUAGAACGCGCCCGACGGUGAGGGACGAAAGCUGGGGGAGCGAACCGGAUUAGAUACCCGGGUAGUCCUGGCCGUAAACGAUGCAUACUAGGUGAUGGUACGGCCAUGAGCCGUAUCAGUGCCGUAGGGAAACCGUUAAGUGUGCCGCCUGGGAAGUACGGUCGCAAGGCUAAAACUUAAAGGAAUUGGCGGGGGAGCACC
RNAcentral lists this ribosomal RNA (903 nucleotides) under uncultured archaeon. RNAcentral's name for it is "bacterial SSU rRNA". It matches the Rfam family "Archaeal small subunit ribosomal RNA", at positions 1 to 880 of the family's 1478-position model. The record is from RNAcentral.